GCCAAGCAGCCCCUCUUAUGGUGGUGUGCUGUUAUCUUUACUGUAACUGGGAGGAGUCUUUCCUGAAGGUCAGAAGCUUGGGACAGCGUCUAUGUGACUGCUAGCCACGCCUCUCCUGUGGGGGCUGUGGAGGGCGGUAACUUCGACAGGAGCCUUGAAUCCAGGAGAUAUGAGAGAACUCCUUCUGUUCCACGUAGGUGAAUUAUCACCACCGGGUCCCGGGGUUCAGACCUCAGCUCGACUGGAGACCAGAUUGUCUGUGUAUAGCCCAAUGCCCCACAGCACUCCACCUGCUCUAUACAGAACAAAGAGGAUGAUUUUAAGAAUAAUUUAUUCUUCCUAUGCUAACCAGUCAGACAUAGAGACGCCCUAGGCAUAAUACAAAUUUUGUCUCUUUCCAAAUAGAAAAAGGUAAAAUACUUGGCUUCCAUUGACAUUAUCAGCCUAUACAACAGAUAUAAAUGAUCAUUCCCUGGCAAGGAUUUGAAAGGGGCACACAAGGCAAGGCAGAAAUGAUGGGCCAGCCAGACUCCAUCUUAAGGAGGGAAGACAUUUUGUUAUAAGGUCGGAAGAAGUUCACAUAGCAGGACAUUUGACCACAUUGUGAACCCCAAGAUUGUGAACUAGAAAAACCUUGUUGUGCUGUGGCUCAGCCCUAGGACACACCUUUAAUCCAAAAAGCUUUCUGUUAACAGGAUUAAAUAAAGUCAAUGAUAGGUCAAGAGGAACCCUAAGUCAAGAGGUGGAGUAAACACCCAACGCCCAGGGAUUGAACAUAAGGAUGUAGAAAGGAGGGUCUUUGAGUUAAAGGGUAUUUAAGACAGCAUGUGGUUGCUGGGAAUAGAACUCAAGACCUCCGGAAGAGCAGUCAGUGCUCUUAACCGCUGAGCCAUUUCUCCAGCCCCUGGGAUUUUGUUUUUAAAACAACAAGUUCAUUUCUUUUUGCUGCAAAAUUCGAGUCGACCGUGCUUUAACCUGUUUCAGGAAUUUGAAAUGCUCCCCACCCUGUAAAGUUUGACUCAGACCUUGAACAUACCCUGAGAAUGUAAGAUGUUCUGCCAAGUUCCUAUGUGACCAAAAUUCCACUAAAAAUACUCCCACCCUCUAAAACCCCUAGUGUGGCAGUUUGGGGAAUAUGUAAAUCCCACCUCCCACUGUGUUCCAUGAUCUUUUUCAAGCCCCCACUUUAGAGAGAAAGUCCUGUCAGACAGAAAAUAAAGCUUGCUUAAUUUGACUG
RNAcentral lists this long non-coding RNA (1237 nucleotides) under Mus musculus (house mouse). Its description in RNAcentral is "long non-coding RNA chr7:18864165-18865402". The record is from RNAcentral. Lineage: Eukaryota; Metazoa; Chordata; Mammalia; Rodentia; Muridae.